RNAcentral lists this small nuclear RNA (21 nucleotides) under Arabidopsis thaliana (thale cress). RNAcentral's name for it is "snRNA_00963". Lineage: Eukaryota; Viridiplantae; Streptophyta; Magnoliopsida; Brassicales; Brassicaceae. The record is from RNAcentral.
AACCGAGAUUAACCAUAAAUC